RNAcentral lists this unclassified non-coding RNA (283 nucleotides) under Hevea brasiliensis (rubber tree). Lineage: Eukaryota; Viridiplantae; Streptophyta; Magnoliopsida; Malpighiales; Euphorbiaceae. The record is from RNAcentral.
UCUUACUGUCUAGUCCUAUUUGUGUGAGUAAUAACCAUUGAUACAUAAAUAUCAACCACUUCAUAAUAGAAUUUUGGACUGCAAAGAUAGUACAACCAAUUACAGACUAUUGUUAUUUACAAGCAAAACAGUAUGUAUAAGCCAACACAGCUUAUAAGAAUUGACACGCAAUGAGAUGGCUGUUAUAUAAUUGGUGCCAUGCUAGAACACUCUUUUCUUUGUAAGGUUGUCUUAUCAGCUAGAAGAAAAAGAACAAGGGAAUUCAGAGAGAGAGAGAGAGAGA